GACGGAGGGACGAGGGGGCGGGGAGAACCCGGGAUCGCGGGAGCGGUUGGAUGUUCCAGGUGACACAAAAAUGAAGACACCGACAGCUAUAAAGAAGUCAUGAGAGCAGUGCAGGUCAGUGCUGGUGAACACACCUCCUUCCAUGUCCUGGUUGCACCACAUCGGCUCGGAUUUACUAGAAAUGAGUUUCAUUUUGUUAAGUAACAUAAGAAUCACGAAGAAAACCCUCUCCAUUGUUCUUACCAAUAAACACAGGGUCAGAAUCGCUGCUCUUAGUGUAACUGAGACAAACAUAUUAUUGCAGAACCCCAGCAGUCCGGGAGCAGAGCUCAGCCUUCUACUCCCUGCACUCAGCCACAUUUAAGUUCUGUGACUCCAUUUCAAUGCAAAGUUACCCAGCUGAGUAGAAAUAACCCCUGUGGCAGCAGCACACCCAGAGCUCGAUUGCUGCCCCUGUUUCUGUGUAACUGUGCCUUUUGGUUGCCAGGAUCAUGGAGAGCUGUGGAGCUGCACCGUUCAUGAGCACUGGGUAGCUCCGUGGGAUUCUCGAACUCCAGAGAGAUCUGUCGUAACUCUUUCGAUAAAUAUAUUUACUCUUUCAAGAAGUAAAUAUUUGAAAGCAUACAGGACAACAUCAGCAUGCUGGAGUCAUACUUUUGUCCCAGGGGGUGACACUGCAGGUGGCUCCGUGCAUCUAGAGGUACACAGAGAUAUCAGAUAAAAGAGGAGCAGUAGAGAUGUCAGGGGCACGUGCUGAAUUCCAACUGCAGCUCAAACUUGAGACCUGCAAGAUCUGCCAUCUUCAUUUAGGCACCUCUGUAAAAGUUACUCACCAAACACAGUCACUGCUCCCUGUGGAGUCUCCCGUGAAGGUAAAUCCCUCCCCACUGAGCAGCCUCAUCCCGAGAUGUGGCAGACACAGUGAUACCCCAUUGCUGUCAGCAGAAGUUGAACUUGCUGCUGCAGUGAGUGGUGCUCCACAAAAUGGGCACUUAGACACGUGCCUUCAUUUUUCCUAUGGAAAGAGGAGUUUCUUG
Long non-coding RNA from Lepidothrix coronata (blue-crowned manakin), 1037 nucleotides. RefSeq lists it as uncharacterized. The transcript is spliced from 3 exons. The record is from RefSeq and is a predicted model, not a curated record. NCBI's taxonomy places the organism in Eukaryota, Metazoa, Chordata, Aves, Passeriformes, Pipridae.